AAUAAGUUCAGUUUUCAGUUUCUAGAUCCAAUGUUUUGACUCUUCAUCUUAUUUUAAUUUCUUUUGUGAUUAAUAUUUUUAUUGUUACUAGAUAAUAAAACAUGAAUAGUACUUUAUGCAUGACUAUUUUUUUAAAGUUUUUGUACAAAUUUUUUCAAAUUAGACGAAUGGUCAAAUAUUGGACACAGAAAUCGAAAAAUAAAGUUAUU
Non-coding RNA from Oryza brachyantha (malo sina), 209 nucleotides. NCBI's taxonomy places the organism in Eukaryota, Viridiplantae, Streptophyta, Magnoliopsida, Poales, Poaceae. The record is from Rfam.